RNAcentral lists this ribosomal RNA (2921 nucleotides) under Staphylococcus aureus M67290. RNAcentral's name for it is "bacterial LSU rRNA". It matches the Rfam family "Bacterial large subunit ribosomal RNA". Lineage: Bacteria; Bacillati; Bacillota; Bacilli; Caryophanales; Staphylococcaceae. The record is from RNAcentral.
UUAAGUUAUUAAGGGCGCACGGUGGAUGCCUUGGCACUAGAAGCCGAUGAAGGACGUUACUAACGACGAUAUGCUUUGGGGAGCUGUAAGUAAGCUUUGAUCCAGAGAUUUCCGAAUGGGGAAACCCAGCAUGAGUUAUGUCAUGUUAUCUAUAUGUGAAUACAUAGCAUAUCAGAAGGCACACCCGGAGAACUGAAACAUCUUAGUACCCGGAGGAAGAAAAAGAAAAUUCGAUUCCCUUAGUAGCGGCGAGCGAAACGGGAAGAGCCCAAACCAACAAGCUUGCUUGUUGGGGUUGUAGGACACUCUAUACGGAGUUACAAAGGACGACAUUAGACGAAUCAUCUGGAAAGAUGAAUCAAAGAAGGUAAUAAUCCUGUAGUCGAAAAUGUUGUCUCUCUUGAGUGGAUCCUGAGUACGACGGAGCACGUGAAAUUCCGUCGGAAUCUGGGAGGACCAUCUCCUAAGGCUAAAUACUCUCUAGUGACCGAUAGUGAACCAGUACCGUGAGGGAAAGGUGAAAAGCACCCCGGAAGGGGAGUGAAAUAGAACCUGAAACCGUGUGCUUACAAGUAGUCAGAGCCCGUUAAUGGGUGAUGGCGUGCCUUUUGUAGAAUGAACCGGCGAGUUACGAUUUGAUGCAAGGUUAAGCAGUAAAUGUGGAGCCGUAGCGAAAGCGAGUCUGAAUAGGGCGUUUAGUAUUUGGUCGUAGACCCGAAACCAGGUGAUCUACCCUUGGUCAGGUUGAAGUUCAGGUAACACUGAAUGGAGGACCGAACCGACUUACGUUGAAAAGUGAGCGGAUGAACUGAGGGUAGCGGAGAAAUUCCAAUCGAACCUGGAGAUAGCUGGUUCUCUCCGAAAUAGCUUUAGGGCUAGCCUCAAGUGAUGAUUAUUGGAGGUAGAGCACUGUUUGGACGAGGGGCCCCUCUCGGGUUACCGAAUUCAGACAAACUCCGAAUGCCAAUUAAUUUAACUUGGGAGUCAGAACAUGGGUGAUAAGGUCCGUGUUCGAAAGGGAAACAGCCCAGACCACCAGCUAAGGUCCCAAAAUAUAUGUUAAGUGGAAAAGGAUGUGGCGUUGCCCAGACAACUAGGAUGUUGGCUUAGAAGCAGCCAUCAUUUAAAGAGUGCGUAAUAGCUCACUAGUCGAGUGACACUGCGCCGAAAAUGUACCGGGGCUAAACAUAUUACCGAAGCUGUGGAUUGUCCUUUGGACAAUGGUAGGAGAGCGUUCUAAGGGCGUUGAAGCAUGAUCGUAAGGACAUGUGGAGCGCUUAGAAGUGAGAAUGCCGGUGUGAGUAGCGAAAGACGGGUGAGAAUCCCGUCCACCGAUUGACUAAGGUUUCCAGAGGAAGGCUCGUCCGCUCUGGGUUAGUCGGGUCCUAAGCUGAGGCCGACAGGCGUAGGCGAUGGAUAACAGGUUGAUAUUCCUGUACCACCUAUAAUCGUUUUAAUCGAUGGGGGGACGCAGUAGGAUAGGCGAAGCGUGCGAUUGGAUUGCACGUCUAAGCAGUAAGGCUGAGUAUUAGGCAAAUCCGGUACUCGUUAAGGCUGAGCUGUGAUGGGGAGAAGACAUUGUGUCUUCGAGUCGUUGAUUUCACACUGCCGAGAAAAGCCUCUAGAUAGAAAAUAGGUGCCCGUACCGCAAACCGACACAGGUAGUCAAGAUGAGAAUUCUAAGGUGAGCGAGCGAACUCUCGUUAAGGAACUCGGCAAAAUGACCCCGUAACUUCGGGAGAAGGGGUGCUCUUUAGGGUUAACGCCCAGAAGAGCCGCAGUGAAUAGGCCCAAGCGACUGUUUAUCAAAAACACAGGUCUCUGCUAAACCGUAAGGUGAUGUAUAGGGGCUGACGCCUGCCCGGUGCUGGAAGGUUAAGAGGAGUGGUUAGCUUCUGCGAAGCUACGAAUCGAAGCCCCAGUAAACGGCGGCCGUAACUAUAACGGUCCUAAGGUAGCGAAAUUCCUUGUCGGGUAAGUUCCGACCCGCACGAAAGGCGUAACGAUUUGGGCACUGUCUCAACGAGAGACUCGGUGAAAUCAUAGUACCUGUGAAGAUGCAGGUUACCCGCGACAGGACGGAAAGACCCCGUGGAGCUUUACUGUAGCCUGAUAUUGAAAUUCGGCACAGCUUGUACAGGAUAGGUAGGAGCCUUUGAAACGUGAGCGCUAGCUUACGUGGAGGCGCUGGUGGGAUACUACCCUAGCUGUGUUGGCUUUCUAACCCGCACCACUUAUCGUGGUGGGAGACAGUGUCAGGCGGGCAGUUUGACUGGGGCGGUCGCCUCCUAAAAGGUAACGGAGGCGCUCAAAGGUUCCCUCAGAAUGGUUGGAAAUCAUUCAUAGAGUGUAAAGGCAUAAGGGAGCUUGACUGCGAGACCUACAAGUCGAGCAGGGUCGAAAGACGGACUUAGUGAUCCGGUGGUUCCGCAUGGAAGGGCCAUCGCUCAACGGAUAAAAGCUACCCCGGGGAUAACAGGCUUAUCUCCCCCAAGAGUUCACAUCGACGGGGAGGUUUGGCACCUCGAUGUCGGCUCAUCGCAUCCUGGGGCUGUAGUCGGUCCCAAGGGUUGGGCUGUUCGCCCAUUAAAGCGGUACGCGAGCUGGGUUCAGAACGUCGUGAGACAGUUCGGUCCCUAUCCGUCGUGGGCGUAGGAAAUUUGAGAGGAGCUGUCCUUAGUACGAGAGGACCGGGAUGGACAUACCUCUGGUGUACCAGUUGUCGUGCCAACGGCAUAGCUGGGUAGCUAUGUGUGGACGGGAUAAGUGCUGAAAGCAUCUAAGCAUGAAGCCCCCCUCAAGAUGAGAUUUCCCAACUUCGGUUAUAAGAUCCCUCAAAGAUGAUGAGGUUAAUAGGUUCGAGGUGGAAGCAUGGUGACAUGUGGAGCUGACGAAUACUAAUCGAUCGAAGACUUAAUCAA